UUCUCUAGGUGUGUUCCCGGAUCAGAGGCCGCGGAGGGCUGUGUCGAAGCAAAGCGGCCGAGAAGCUGCGAGAAGAGUCGUGGUCUCCGCUGUUCAGGAGCGUCUGAGGCUCGGCAUCGUCGCCCGUAGUGACCCGCGCCAGGCCCGCGAUAGGGACCGCCGUGCCCACGUCUUUGCUGCGCCCAUAGACCGAUGGCGGCGGCCGCGCUGAGGGACCCGGCUCAGGUGGGAGCAAAGAGCAGGGGGAAGGAGUCAGGACUGCAAUGCCUGCCAGAGAAGUUGGGUAUCUAUCCUAGAGUGUCAGGUAUCUUGUGUUUGGCCAUACCCGUAACCCUAGGGCGGGAAUCCCACCCGCACCAGUGGAGUGAGGAAGAGGGCACUGUCACCUUUGAAGAUGUGGCCGUAUACUUCUCCUGGGAGGAAUGGGGUCUCCUUGAUGAGGCUCAAAGAUGCCUGUACCGUGAUGUGAUGCUGGAGAACUUGGCUCUUAUAACCUCGCUGGAUGUUUAUCAACACCAGAAGGAGCACUUUGGAGAGAAACAUUUCAGAAGCAGUGUGGGCAAAACAUUGUUUGUGAAGACCUGCACAUUUCAUGUGUCAGGGGAGCCCUUUACCUGCAGGGAAGUUGGGAAGGACUUCCUGGCCAAGUUGGGAUUUGUCCAUCAACAGGCCACUCACACUGGGGAGCAGUCAAAUAGCAUAAGCAAUUGUGGGGCUAUCAGUCACAGUGAAGGAACUCAGCACAACUAUGAAGAAUAUACAAAAGCAGUCAGCCGAAAAUGCAAACUUGUUCAGCAGCGGAGAGCCCUCACUACAGAAAGAUGUUACGUGUGCAGCGAAUGCGGGAAAUCCUUUAGCAAAAGCUACAGCCUCAAUGACCAUUGGAGAGUUCACACUGGAGAAAAGCCUUAUGAGUGUCGGGAAUGUGGGAAAUCCUUUAGGCAAAGCUCUAGCCUCAUUCAGCACCGGAGAGUUCAUACUGGAGUACGACCUCAUGAAUGUGAUGAAUGUGGAAAAUUAUUUAGCAACAAAUCCAACCUCAUUAAACAUUGGAGAGUUCACACUGGAGAAAGGCCAUAUGAGUGCAGUGAAUGUGGGAAGUCCUUUAGUGAAAGCUCUGCACUCCUUCAACACCAGAGUGUUCACACUGGAGAGAGGCCUUAUGAGUGCAGUGAAUGUGGGAAAUUCUUUACAUACCAUUCCAGUCUAAUAAAGCACCAGAAAGUUCAUAGUGGAUCAAGGCCUUAUGAGUGUAGUGAAUGUGGGAAGUCAUUUAGCCAAAACUCCAGCCUCAUUGAACACCGUAGGGUUCAUACUGGAGAAAGACCUUAUAAGUGCAGUGAAUGUGGGAAAUCCUUUAGCCAAAGCUCUGCACUUCUUCAACAUCGGAGAGUUCAUACUGGAGAAAGGCCUUAUGCGUGCAGUGAAUGUGGGAAAUUCUUUACCUACAGCUCCAGUCUCCAGAAACACCAGAGAGUUCACACUGGAUCAAGGCCUUACGAAUGCAGUGAAUGUGGGAAAUCCUUUACUCAAAACUCUAGCCUCAUUAAGCACAGGAGGGUUCACACUGGGGAAAGACCUUAUCAGUGCACUGCAUGUGGGAAGUACUUUAGCCAUAACUCUAGCCUCAUUAAACACCGGAGGAUUCAUAGUCGAUAAAGGCCUUAUGAGUGGCAGAUGUGGAAGAUUAGCACCGUGGAGAAAGUCCUGUAAAUGCAGUGAAUGUGAGGAAACAUUCAGUUGAAGGACUUAUCUCAUUAGGUACACAAAGUUUACGUGGGAAGAACACCUUUGAUAUACAGGGAUAUGCUGUUUCUUUGUUCAGUGUAACAACUCUGAAGGAAAUCCCUUAUGUGAGGGUGCCAUCUGCUUGAAUUCAACCUCAUACAUUGAACAUCCACAUAAAUUCCAGGUAUGUGAGAGCUGCAUUGUACAUUUUACCCUACCCAGGGCUCUUGGUGGAUUGAUGUCAUUGCUAGUUUUGUAGCAGAAGCCAUUUUACCUCUACCAGCUGGCAGGUGCUCACUAUGUGCACCUGAGUUCACCCACGCCAGUGUAUGCAGGGCAUGAACCUGACCCAGUUUGACCCAGAGGACUCUCCUGUUGACAUGGAAAGGUGGACUACCUAUUUUAGAUACUGUUGGUCUUAGAUGACAGUUUUGAUGGACUUUUCCAGCCUCUAAGUCAUCAACUGUGUGAACCACCUGCCUUUCAUUGCCCUGGUUUGUACGAUAAUAAAGGCCUUAU
RNA transcript from Propithecus coquereli (Coquerel's sifaka), 2247 nucleotides. It is a transcript of the gene named zinc finger protein 154, with no coding region annotated. The record is from RefSeq and is a predicted model, not a curated record. NCBI's taxonomy places the organism in Eukaryota, Metazoa, Chordata, Mammalia, Primates, Indriidae. The transcript is spliced from 6 exons.